GUCGACUAUGUGGUAUCAAGACAAGAACUUCUCUGCAACCAGGGCCUAUCCGGCCAUAUUUUAAUGAGACAAGUGUACGAAGUUUAGUAUAUACAGAGCAAGAAUCGCCAACAAACAACCAUAUGCUGCUAAAUCAUAAUAUUCAAAGAGAUGGUCCGAGUUAGCUUAUGAGUUGAAGAGAACGAAAGCUGAAAAAAGGUAUUGCAAAAAGGGUUAAUGGAUGAGAAGAAAUAAUAUGCAAAUAUGGGCAAAUGUAAGAAGAUUGAAUCAGAUUUAAUGGAAGCGGGUUGCAGAGCCUGAAAAGUGAAAUAGAGAAGAAAGUAGAAACACCAAACGCAUAAGCCAUAGAAGCUGAGCUAAGCAGAGUGAAGGUUCAGUUUGAGAAAUGGAGGAAAGAGGCUGAGACGGAAACUUCUCAUUACAUUCUGCUUUGGUCGGCGACGUGAGACUGCAGUCUAGAAGGAGCUUGGAAAUUAAUGACGCAUGGACCAUUUGAUGCAACCAUGGUUGAGCUAGAAGAUAAUUUGAAAUGGAUGCAAUCUCGUGGAUGCAACUCUGUGGAUGCUUAACUGGUGGAUGCAGAAACUCGUGGAUACAACUCUAUGGAUGGAUGAAUGGAAUGCUUAAAGAUGAACCAGAGGCUGUAAUGGAGCAUAAUGCGCUUAUGUUGGCUAUGAAGAACAAGACAAACAAGCUGGAAAAGUUGUGGAUCAGAUUCAAGGAUGAGUUGGGCCUUUUUCAGCCAAAAGGAGAUCAAAUAUCCCAGAUAUGGAUCGAUUUUCUCUUGUGAUGAACCAGCCACGAAAUUAAAGUCUAUGAAACAAAGGGAGCAAUUGUUUGCUUGGUUUAUUCUGAACCAGAGCUAAACCAGUUCGAAAAUCAAGUCAAGGAUUCAGUCCAACCUAGUUUUCCUAAGUAUUUUCUUAUUCCUGCAAUUUAGGACUUUUCAUUUUCCUUCUUCUUCUCUAUUUAAACUCUCUUUUGUUUCAGAACAAAAUAUCACUCUUUUUAUUAAAAUUGUCUCUCAAAUCUAUGAAUCCUUUUUUGAACACUGA
This is a long non-coding RNA of Brassica napus (rape), 1055 nucleotides long. RefSeq lists it as uncharacterized. The transcript has 2 exons. NCBI's taxonomy places the organism in Eukaryota, Viridiplantae, Streptophyta, Magnoliopsida, Brassicales, Brassicaceae. The record is from RefSeq and is a predicted model, not a curated record.